UACGUAGGGGGCAAGCGUUGUCCGGAAUCAUUGGGCGUAAAGAGCGUGUAGGCGGCUCGGUAAGUCCGCUGUGAAAGUCCAGGGCUCAACCCUGGAAUGCCGGUGGAAACUGUCGAGCUAGAGUCCGGAAGAGGCGAGUGGAAUUCCUGGUGUAGCGGUGAAAUGCGCAGAUAUCAGGAGGAACACCAAUGGCGAAGGCAGCUCGCUGGGACGUGAUGACGCUGAGGAGCGAAAGCGUGGGGAGCGAACAGG
Molecule: ribosomal RNA, 252 nt
Filed under: uncultured bacterium
Lineage: Bacteria
Description: partial 16S ribosomal RNA
Rfam family: Bacterial small subunit ribosomal RNA
Source: RNAcentral